CAUCCUAAGGCUGGCGAUUCAACAACGGGGGAACUGCUCUCAGGCCUUGUACCUUCUCAGGGCUCAUUGCUUGAAAUUCCCAAGCUACUCGAGAAUCCCAUGAACACUGUAGAGGAGUUGGAGUCAUUCGACGCACAACUGACGCCAGAGCGGGAGAAACAGGUAACAUUGGAGCUAUCUAUCCUCGGCGGCAGUUCAGCAAAGGUAGCCACCAGAAGAAUUCUGGCUUACAUCAUGAGCAACGAGCUUAGAUCCCAAUAUAGUUGGGAGGGGAGAAAGGGGAAAUACCCCUUUAAAGACCUGAGCCUAGCAAAAGUCAUCCUGCGAACAAUACACACUCAUAAAUAAUUUGCAAAGGCAACACGAUUUGACAUCGAGCACGAGGUGAACAAGUGGCUGCGUCACGCCAGGGAGAGGUCCGAAAGAUCGAAACAAUAAAUCAGGUUAAUAUGAAG
Ornithodoros turicata is the source of this 455-nucleotide long non-coding RNA. RefSeq lists it as uncharacterized. The transcript has 3 exons. The record is from RefSeq and is a predicted model, not a curated record. Lineage: Eukaryota; Metazoa; Arthropoda; Arachnida; Ixodida; Argasidae.